AUACGGAGGGGGUUAGCGUUGUUCGGAAUUACUGGGCGUAAAGCGUACGUAGGCGGAUUAGUAAGUUAGGGGUGAAAUCCCAGGGCUCAACCCUGGAACUGCCUCUAAAACUGCUAGUCUUGAGAUCGAGAGAGGUGAGUGGAAUUCCUAGUGUAGAGGUGAAAUUCGUAGAUAUUAGGAGGAACACCAGUGGCGAAGGCGGCUCACUGGCUCGAUACUGACGCUGAGGUACGAAAGUGUGGGGAGCAAACAGGAUUAGAAACCCCAGUAGUCC
Molecule: ribosomal RNA, 274 nt
Filed under: uncultured bacterium
Lineage: Bacteria
Description: partial 16S ribosomal RNA
Rfam family: Bacterial small subunit ribosomal RNA
Source: RNAcentral